Molecule: ribosomal RNA, 549 nt
Filed under: uncultured bacterium
Lineage: Bacteria
Description: bacterial SSU rRNA
Rfam family: Bacterial small subunit ribosomal RNA
Source: RNAcentral
GGGGAAUCUUCCGCAAUGGACGAAAGUCUGACGGAGCAACGCCGCGUGAGUGAUGACGGCCUUCGGGUUGUAAAGCUCUGUUAAUCGGGACGAAUGGUUCUUGUGCGAAUAGUGCGAGGAUUUGACGGUACCGGAAUAGAAAGCCACGGCUAACUACGUGCCAGCAGCCGCGGUAAUACGUAGGUGGCAAGCGUUGUCCGGAAUUAUUGGGCGUAAAGCGCGCGCAGGCGGAUUGGUCAGUCUGUCUUAGAAGUUCGGGGCUUAACCCCGUGAUGGGAUGGAAACUGCCAAUCUAGAGUAUCGGAGAGGAAAGUGGAAUUCCUAGUGUAGCGGUGAAAUGCGUAGAUAUUAGGAAGAACACCAGUGGCGAAGGCGACUUUCUGGACGAAAACUGACGCUGAGGCGCGAAAGCCAGGGGAGCGAACGGGAUUAGAUACCCCGGUAGUCCUGGCCGUAAACGAUGGGUACUAGGUGUAGGAGGUAUCGACCCCUUCUGUGCCGGAGUUAACGCAAUAAGUACCCCGCCUGGGGAGUACGACCGCAAGGUUG